Molecule: ribosomal RNA, 230 nt
Filed under: uncultured bacterium
Lineage: Bacteria
Description: partial 16S ribosomal RNA
Rfam family: Bacterial small subunit ribosomal RNA
Source: RNAcentral
ACAACAGACGGAAACGACUGCUAAUACCGAAUAAGUUCCAAGAGCCGCAUGGCCCAUGGAAGAAAAGGUGGCCUCUACCUGUAAGCUAUCGCCUGAAGAGGGGUUCGCGUCUGAUUAGCUGGUUGGAGGGGUAACGGCCCACCAAGGCGACGAUCAGUAGCCGGUCUGAGAGGAUGAACGGCCACCACUGGAACUGAGACACGGUCCAGACUCCUACGGGAGGCAGCAUG